Molecule: ribosomal RNA, 887 nt
Filed under: uncultured bacterium
Lineage: Bacteria
Description: bacterial SSU rRNA
Rfam family: Bacterial small subunit ribosomal RNA
Source: RNAcentral
AGAGUUUGAUCAUGGCUCAGGACGAACGCUGGCGGCGUGCCUAAUACAUGCAAGUCGAGCGAGCUUGCCUAGAUGAUUUUAGUGCUUGCACUAAAUGAAACUAGAUACAAGCGAGCGGCGGACGGGUGAGUAACACGUGGGUAACCUGCCCAAGAGACUGGGAUAACACCUGGAAACAGAUGCUAAUACCGGAUAACAACACUAGACGCAUGUCUAGAGUUUGAAAGAUGGUUCUGCUAUCACUCUUGGAUGGACCUGCGGUGCAUUAGCUAGUUGGUAAGGUAACGGCUUACCAAGGCAAUGAUGCAUAGCCGAGUUGAGAGACUGAUCGGCCACAUUGGGACUGAGACACGGCCCAAACUCCUACGGGAGGCAGCAGUAGGGAAUCUUCCACAAUGGACGAAAGUCUGAUGGAGCAACGCCGCGUGAGUGAAUGAAGGGUUUCGGCUCGUAAAGCUCUGUUGGUAGUGAAGAAAGAUAGAGGUAGUAACUGGCCUUUAUUUGACGGUAAUUACUUAGAAAGUCACGGCUAACUACGUGCCAGCAGCCGCGGUAAUACGUAGGUGGCAAGCGUUGUCCGGAUUUAUUGGGCGUAAAGCGAGUGCAGGCGGUUCAAUAAGUCUGAUGUGAAAGCCUUCGGCUCAACCGGAGAAUUGCAUCAGAAACUGUUGAACUUGAGUGCAGAAGAGGAGAGUGGAACUCCAUGUGUAGCGGUGGAAUGCGUAGAUAUAUGGAAGAACACCAGUGGCGAAGGCGGCUCUCUGGUCUGCAACUGACGCUGAGGCUCGAAAGCAUGGGUAGCGAACAGGAUUAGAUACCCUGGUAGUCCAUGCCGUAAACGAUGAGUGCUAAGUGUUGGGAGGUUUCCGCCUCUCAGUGCUGCAGCU